AGAGUUUGAUCAUGGCUCAGAGUGAACGCUGGCGGCGUGCUUAACACAUGCAAGUCGAACGGUAACAGAAAGAAGCUUGCUUCUUUGCUGACGAGUGGCGCACGGGUGAGUAAUGUAUAGCUAACGUGCCCCUUAGAGGGGGAUAACAGUUGGAAACGACUGCUAAUACCCCAUACUCCUUCUUACUUAAUGUAGGUUGGGAAAGUUUUUUCGCUAAGGGAUCGGGCUAUAUGGUAUCAGUUAGUUGGUGAGGUAACGGCUCACCAAGACAAUGACGCCUAUCUGGUCUGAGAGGAUGAUCAGACACACUGGAACUGAGACACGGUCCAGACUCCUACGGGAGGCAGCAGUGGGGAAUAUUGCACAAUGGAGGAAACUCUGAUGCAGCAACGCCGCGUGGAGGAUGACGCAUUUCGGUGUGUAAACUCCUUUUAUAUAGGAAGAUAAUGACGGUACUAUAUGAAUAAGCACCGGCUAACUCCGUGCCAGCAGCCGCGGUAAUACGGAGGGUGCAAGCGUUACUCGGAAUCACUGGGCGUAAAGCGCGCGCAGGCGGGUUUGUAAGUUGGAUGUGAAAGCCUACGGCUCAACCGUAGAACUGCAUCCAAAACUGCUUACCUAGAGUCUGGGAGGGGAAGAUGGAAUUAGUGGUGUAGGGGUAAAAUCCGUAGAGAUCACUAGGAAUACCAAAAGCGAAGGCGAUCUUCUGGAACAGUACUGACGCUGAGGCGCGAAAGCGUGGGGAGCAAACAGGAUUAGAUACCCUGGUAGUCCACGCCCUAAACUAUGAAUGUUAGUCGUCGGGUAGCUAGUCUACUCGGUGAUGCAGCUAACGCAUUAAACAUUCCGCCUGGGGAGUACGGUCGCAAGAUUAAAACUCAAAGGAAUAGACGGGGACCCGCACAAGUGGUGGAGCAUGUGGUUUAAUUCGAAGAUACGCGAAGAACCUUACCUGGCCUUGACAUUGAUAGAAUCCUGUAGAGAUACGGGAGUGCCCUUCGGGGAGCUUGAAAACAGGUGCUGCACGGCUGUCGUCAGCUCGUGUCGUGAGAUGUUGGGUUAAGUCCCGCAACGAGCGCAACCCUCGUUCUUAGUUACUAACGGUUCGGCCGAGGACUCUAAGAAGACUGCCUUCGCAAGGAGGAGGAAGGUGAGGACGACGUCAAGUCAUCAUGGCCCUUACGGCCAGGGCGACACACGUGCUACAAUGGGCAGUACAGAGGGAAGCAAAAUCGCGAGAUCAAGCAAAUCCCAGAAAGCUGUCCGUAGUCCGGAUCGGAGUCUGCAACUCGACUCCGUGAAGUCGGAAUCGCUAGUAAUCGCGAAUCAGCAUGUCGCGGUGAAUACGUUCCCGGGCCUUGUACACACCGCCCGUCACACCAUGGGAGUUUGUUGCACCAGAAGCAGGUAGUCUAACCGAAAGGAGGACGCUUGCCACGGUGUGGCCGAUGACUGGGGUGAAGUCGUAACAAGGUAGCCAAGGGCGAA
Molecule: ribosomal RNA, 1488 nt
Filed under: uncultured Campylobacterota bacterium
Lineage: Bacteria; Pseudomonadati; Campylobacterota
Description: bacterial SSU rRNA
Rfam family: Bacterial small subunit ribosomal RNA
Source: RNAcentral